GCCUGGGUGGCUCAGUCGGUUGAGUGUCCGACUUCAGCUCAGGUCACGAUUUCACGGUUCGUGGGUUCGAGCCCCACGUCGGGCU
RNAcentral lists this transfer RNA (85 nucleotides) under Felis catus (domestic cat). It matches the Rfam family "tRNA". From Rfam's summary of the family: Transfer RNA (tRNA) molecules are approximately 80 nucleotides in length. Their secondary structure includes four short double-helical elements and three loops (D, anti-codon, and T loops). Further hydrogen bonds mediate the characteristic L-shaped molecular structure. tRNAs have two regions of fundamental functional importance: the anti-codon, which is responsible for specific mRNA codon recognition, and the 3' end, to which the tRNAs corresponding amino acid is attached (by aminoacyl-tRNA synthetases). tRNAs cope with the degeneracy of the genetic code in two manners: having more than one tRNA (with a specific anti-codon) for a particular amino acid; and 'wobble' base-pairing, i.e. permitting non-standard base-pairing at the 3rd anti-codon position. Lineage: Eukaryota; Metazoa; Chordata; Mammalia; Carnivora; Felidae. The record is from Rfam by way of RNAcentral.